GUGACGAUACUUACAAGCUCGCCUGAGGUCGAAGCCGAUGCAGCUGUGCGCGCAGGAAGGAACUCAUUGAAACUACUCCACUUCUACUCAACCGAAAGGUUGUAUUGAUUGAUUGAUGAUUAUUCAUUAAAAGGCACAUGGGUUUAUAUUUAUACCCUGGCGCAGCUAAAAUUCUAGUCGAUUACGACAUGAACUAUUACAAACUAAUUAAAACUACUAAAGAUACUCCUUCACGCUUUCCCUUAUUUGGUGGAGUCGAUUUCACUUCGGAUCAGACCUCCUCCGAUCUUCUAUCAGCUUCUGAAAUCCUAGUCAUCCACGGCUAGUCUUGGUCAACGCGGGGUCAUCAAUGGCUCUUUUCUCUCUCCUUCAUCAGCCAUCAGAACCUUAUCCAUAGCGGUUGACUCUGGCCAAAACCCGCGUCAACACAUGCCCCCCCCCCAAUUUUGGAAUAUAAUAUUAUGUUUCAAAAUUCUCUUCUCUUGUUAGCACCCUCGCAAGUCCCGAGCCGAUAUUCUUCCAAAACUGAAAGAGUUGUUGCCGCAAUCAUGAUUCCUUUCCUCAGCCUUUGUGAUAUCACGACCCUCGAUUUUUAGGUUUCACUUGAGCAACAAUACUAUUAUAUAACUGCUCCGUCCUUUCUUCUUCUAUCCCAAGCCAACCAAGCUCUCUACCGCUGCGAAUCAAAACCGGACAUCUGCACCAGCGAUCAUGUUCAACCUUCCUCUGCGGGCAUCAAAGCUCUGAAAUCAAUCAAUGGCGACUUCCAUUUCCAUUCCUGAGGUAUUUGUAUAUCAUCACCUUGUUUAAGUGCGUUUUAGAUCUGAACUGCUUUUUCACUAUAUUCCUCAUUCCUCCCCUUCUCGAUUUUGAUCCCUAGGUGCUUAGAGAUCACGUUUUGAUUCCACUUAGUGAUGUGAAUAGUGCAUUCUUCCUUGGACCCAUGGGUGAUGAAGAUCCCGCUAACUUCAUCAAUGCCGAAACUCAACGGAUCCCUUAUAGAACACCCUCUAUGAAUUUGGAUGAUUGGAAGGAAGGUUUCCG
Molecule: long non-coding RNA, 1044 nt
Filed under: Setaria viridis
Lineage: Eukaryota; Viridiplantae; Streptophyta; Magnoliopsida; Poales; Poaceae
Description: long non-coding RNA (SVIR_LNC007697)
Source: RNAcentral